Molecule: long non-coding RNA, 511 nt
Filed under: Homo sapiens (human)
Lineage: Eukaryota; Metazoa; Chordata; Mammalia; Primates; Hominidae
Description: HSALNT0373814
Source: RNAcentral
CAGAAACCAAGACAUCUAAUCCAUCAGAGCCUAAGAUUUCAGAGGAAGGAAGCAUAAAUUCCUCACAGUUAGCAUCACAAGUAGAAACAUAUUCACCAACAGGAAGUCCUGGAACACAGCCAGUGCAACAGCAGUGAAGUUAUUCUUUGCUACAAUACUGCUCCACUGGACUAAACAAGUAUAAAAAAUGGAUGACAGCAGGAGGACACCUGGCCAGCUGUUGUAUGGUGAGCUGAACUGAGGAGAUCUCAAAUAGGGCAGGCUGAAGGAACAUGCCACAGACACAUUGAAGAACAAUUUCAAGUAAUGGAAGCAUGGCUGCAGAAGACUGGGAAAUAAUAUCAGGAGGAAGACUGACCCAAUGUGGAGCAAUUGGAGCAGCAAAGGUGUGCAGCCAGGUGAAGCUGCAGCAUUUCAGCUUGCAACAGCUUUUGUAAAGAGCAGUCCCUCUCCCAAUCAAAGAGCCCCAUCCACCUGUAUUAUCUGAGUAAACAUGGCAGAUUUCUUACCA